GACGAACGCUGGCGGCGUGCUUAACACAUGCAAGUCGUACGGUAAGGCCUUUUCGGGGGCACACGAGUCGCGAACGGGAGUGUAACACGUGUGUUAUCUGCCCCACACCUUGGGAAAACGCUAGGAAACUGGCGAUUAUACUGGAUAUGUGCCUCUGCCGUAUUGUGGGGGUUGGAGAGUUAUGGCGGCUGUGGGUGGGCUCGCGGCCUCUCCGCUUUGUUGUGGGGUAGUGGCCUACCAAGGCGGAGGCGGGGACGCGGCCGGAGAGGGUGGACGGCCACAAUUGGGCUGAGGAACGGGCCAGGCUCCUACGGGGGGCAACAGGUGGGAAUAUUUCACAAAGGGCGCAAGCCUGGAGCAACAACGCCGCGGGCGGGAUGACGGGCUUCGGGUUGUAAACCGCUUUCAGCAGGGACGGAGCUGUUAGUGACGGUACCUGCAGAAGAAGCACCGGCUAACUACGUG
Molecule: ribosomal RNA, 465 nt
Filed under: uncultured bacterium
Lineage: Bacteria
Description: partial 16S ribosomal RNA
Rfam family: Bacterial small subunit ribosomal RNA
Source: RNAcentral